This 81-nucleotide transfer RNA is filed under the name Deltaproteobacteria bacterium. Its description in RNAcentral is "tRNA-OTHER". The record is from RNAcentral. Lineage: Bacteria; Pseudomonadati; Myxococcota; Myxococcia.
GCCACCCGGAGCGCACUCGGGGCCCCCCGGCGCAGCUUCCUAAACCGCAGGUCGCAGGUUCGACUCCUGCCGGGGGCGCCA